This 566-nucleotide ribosomal RNA is filed under the name uncultured archaeon. RNAcentral's name for it is "bacterial SSU rRNA". It matches the Rfam family "Archaeal small subunit ribosomal RNA", at positions 313 to 879 of the family's 1478-position model. The record is from RNAcentral.
GCGAAUCGCCCUUCGGGGUGCAGCAGGCGCGAAAACUUUACAAUGCGGGAAACCGUGAUAAGGGGACACCGAGUGCCAGCAUCAUAUGCUGGCUGUCCAGGUGUGUAAAAUACACCUGUUAGCAAGGGCCGGGCAAGACCGGUGCCAGCCGCCGCGGUAACACCGGCGGCCCGAGUGGUGAUCGUGAUUAUUGGGUCUAAAGGGUCCGUAGCCGGUUUGGUCAGUCCUCCGGGAAAUCUGAUAGCUCAACUAUUAGGCUUUCGGGGGAUACUGCCAGGCUUGGAACCGGGAGAGGUAAGAGGUACUACAGGGGUAGGAGUGAAAUCUUGUAAUCCCUGUGGGACCACCUGUGGCGAAGGCGUCUUACCAGAACGGGUUCGACGGUGAGGGACGAAAGCUGGGGGCACGAACCGGAUUAGAUACCCGGGUAGUCCCAGCCGUAAACGAUGCUCGCUAGGUGUCAGGCAUGGCGCGACCGUGUCUGGUGCCGCAGGGAAGCCGUGAAGCGAGCCACCUGGGAAGUACGGCCGCAAGGCUGAAACUUAAAGGAAUUGGCGGGGGAGCAC